GAUGAACGCUAGCGGCAGGCCUAAUACACGCAAGUCGAACGAUAGAAGAGGGCUUGCUCUCUUCGAAAGUGGCGCACGGGUGCGUAACGCGUAUGCAACCUACCUUAAUCAGGGGGAUAGCCCGAAGAAAUUCGGAUUAACACCGCAUAAAAUCACAGUACAGCAUUGUACAAUGAUCACAUAUUUAUAGGAUUAAGAUGGGCAUGCGUGACAUUAGCUAGUUGGCGGGGUAACGGCCCACCAAGGCGACGAUGUCUAGGGGAUCUGAGAGGAUGACCCCCCACACUGGUACUGAGACACGGACCAGACUCCUACGGGAGGCAGCAGUAAGGAAUAUUGGUCAAUGGAGGCAACUCUGAACCAGCCAUGCCGCGUGCAGGAAGACAGCCCUCUGGGUCGUAAACUGCUUUUAUUCGGGAAUAAACCUACUUACGUGUAAGUAGCUGAAUGUACCGAAGGAAUAAGGAUCGGCUAACUCCGUGCCAGCCGCCGCGGUAA
Molecule: ribosomal RNA, 498 nt
Filed under: uncultured bacterium
Lineage: Bacteria
Description: partial 16S ribosomal RNA
Rfam family: Bacterial small subunit ribosomal RNA
Source: RNAcentral